Micropterus dolomieu (smallmouth bass) is the source of this 1969-nucleotide long non-coding RNA. RefSeq lists it as uncharacterized. The transcript has 6 exons. Lineage: Eukaryota; Metazoa; Chordata; Actinopteri; Centrarchiformes; Centrarchidae. The record is from RefSeq and is a predicted model, not a curated record.
CGUAUAAUAAUUGCGCUAAAGGGGUACCCAGGGCGUCAAAAAGCAACGCCAAAGGGCCUUGACCGAGUCGGGAGUGAGAAUAUGCUGGUGACAUAGCGACAUAGUCCAUGUACUGUGGUUGGUGUGAUAGAUGAGUCAUUCAAGAGACUGAAGAUUUCUUGUGUCUUGUAUGAAAGAAAAUGAAGAUAACCACAGCCAGGAGCUUGACCACCCUGGUGAACCUCAAGGAGCUUGUAUCUCAAUCAUGCUGAUAGCAACAAACACACACACCACUGCUGUCUUCUGCCCAACAGAUUGACUGCUGUCAAAACAAAGGCCUUCUCAAGGAGCUACUGUUACAAUGAAAGAGUUGAUAAGUGAAAGCAAACAUGCAGUUUUUGAGCUUACAGGGUUUCGGUGUUGGCUGCCAUGUGCUAGUCUGCCUGGGCCUGGCACUUCUUACUUGCAGGUGGGCACAGAGAGUCUGAGUGCUGACCGGAGCUGCAGCGGUACAGAUAUGAUGACAACAGGGGAGAAGUGAUGAAGAUACUCAGUGCUUCUUCCUCAGUCUGAGGUUCUUCCGGCGACUACUGGCACUUUCGUUCCUUCCCCUCUGGCCUCCUCUCUUUACACAAAAGUACUUGGUCACUGUCUUCCUGCACUGCUCACACUUGACCGCGCAGCACCAGUGGAAUUUACAAUUACAGCUCGACACCAUCUCAGCUUUGCGCUCCUCCACAGCCAGCCCGCACUCCCCGCAAAGCCUCUUGCAGCUCCGCUUCUCCCAUUUGGUCAAGUUCUUGCCCUUCUUAAGGCACUCGCGGCCCUCUGUGCCCGGCAAGCCCAGCGUGCGGUUUUCCAGGCAGUAAUCGGGGGAGUCUUCGAGGUGUACCAGCUCCUUGCGAGAGAUGGAGCUAAAGGUCUCGGCGAUGGCCCCCCUGCUGGCAGCGCUGUUCCCGGCUCCUCGGAGGAGAUCCACCUUCAGAGCCCUGUGGUACUUCUCCUUCAAAUAGUUCCCCACCUCCCUGAAAUCUGGCAGCUGCAGCCAGCAGGUCUGAGUGGUGCAGCUUCCUGAUACCCCGUGGCACUUACAUGUUUUCUGCAUGGUCCCCUUCACAGCCUGGAGACACAGGAGGGAGUGUUUCCUGACUUUACCCGAAACAAAGCAGCUGUCGGUUGAAAAGGGACAUUUCUUUUCGCGAGGAGGGGAUGAACUUUCUGCUGAGGUGCCAUGGGGAUCCUAGGGCCCAACAGGGGGGAGCAAAGGCACCGUAAACAAAGACCACUUCAGCUGCACGCCUGUGGUCCCCUCAGACUCCCUUGGGGCCAAACAAAGACCAACAUAAAUGUGGGAUCCUUAUUGCAAGAAUAAAACUAAACACUUAUUUUAAAAAGCAGCAUAAUACAGAAUGCUGUGCAAUGUCUGGCUCCCCAGGAUCUCUAAUUAAGCCUGCACCAGCAAUCCUGAGAUUCUUGAGUUGAGGUAUUGUCAUAAGGGGCAUUCAGCACUAGUAAAUAGGCCCUUCUGGUACACCGAACACACUGUUAUUAUUGGGGACGAGUGGCACCUCACUUAUAGCGACGUGAAAAGGAUGCUUGGGUGGCACACUCAGUGUAAUUCUGAGAAGGGAAAAAUUAUUCAAAAGAUGCUUUACACUGUGCAAUCAGUUGGAGGGCCCACAGAGAUUCCCAAAAUUUAAACCAGGCUGCCACCCAGUUUAAAUACUGUAUGGUUCAAAGUCGAGACCUUAUACUUAAGGCUCAUCUCUCAUUGCCAAAUGGAUGGCAUGACUUAAGAGCACAGACUGUACCUUGCGUCCAGCCUCGUUAUUAUGGAGAUUCAUAGCCGCCCGUGCAUCCUGCCCAGUCUCCAAGGCAUCCACAAACUGUUUGGAGAUGGCCUCGCCAAAGCCAACAUUGUCACUGCAGCCGCCCCAGAGCCAGCCGUGACCACCUAGGAGAAUAAAAAAAAUAAUUAAGUAAAAAUCCA